This 127-nucleotide ribosomal RNA is filed under the name Saimiri boliviensis boliviensis (Bolivian squirrel monkey). Lineage: Eukaryota; Metazoa; Chordata; Mammalia; Primates; Cebidae. The record is from RNAcentral.
AUCUAUAGUGUAUUAGAAGAGCUUUAUGUAAUACUGAAUCUUCUCUCAUAAGAGGGAAACCUUUGAAAACUGUAGAUUUCUAGUACUUGCAUGGGAGACCUCCUGGGAAUACCGGGUGCUGUAGGCU